RNAcentral lists this ribosomal RNA (281 nucleotides) under Lingulaulax polyedra. Its description in RNAcentral is "Lingulodinium polyedra partial Bacterial large subunit ribosomal RNA". It matches the Rfam family "Bacterial large subunit ribosomal RNA", at positions 2598 to 2894 of the family's 2925-position model. Lineage: Eukaryota; Dinophyceae; Gonyaulacales; Lingulodiniaceae. The record is from RNAcentral.
ACGCGAGCUGGGUUCAGAACGUCGUGAGACAGUUUGGUCCCUAUCUGCCGUGGGCGUCGAAAUUUGAGAGGAGUUGACCCUAGUACGAGAGGACCGGGUUGAACAUACCUCUGGUGUACCUGUCGUGGCGCCAGCCGCGCAGCAGGGUAGCUAUGUAUGGACGGGAUAACCGCUGAAAGCAUCUAAGCGGGAAGCCUCCCUCAAGAUAAGAUUUCUUAGAGCCGUGGAAGACCACCACGUUGAUAGAUCGGAUGUAGAAGCGCGGUAACGCGUGGAGCUAA